AGAGAGAGACAUGCGCGCAUAUCAAUAAGCGGAGGAAAAGAAACUAACAAGGAUUCCCUUAGUAACGGCGAGUGAAGCGGGAAGAGCUCAAAUUUGAAAUCUUCAAGGUUUUACCUUGACGAAUUGUAGUUUAAAGAAGUGUUUUCUGCUGAAGUUUUGGUAAAAGUUCUUUGGAAUAGGACAUCAUAGAGGGUGAGAAUCCCGUAUUUGACCAUUAUUUUCAGCUUUGUGAUACACUUUCAAAGAGUCGGAUUGUUUGGGAAUGCAGUCCAAAAUGGGUGGUAAAUUUCAUCUAAAGCUAAAUAUUGGCGAGAGACCGAUAGCGAACAAGUACCGUGAGGGAAAGAUGAAAAGAACUUUGAAAAGAGAGUUAAACAGUACGUGAAAUUGUCAAAAGGGAAGCGUUUGACACCAGUGUUGUUUUCUCGAAAAUCAAUUAAAAAUGGCUCGAUUUUGUAUUGUUGAGACCUUAAAAGCUCACUGUACAUUUUUCGUGUCUUUUUUAAUGCACUUUUCGUUUAACAAGUCAACAUCAGUUUCUUUUGUUGUAAAAGGGUCAUUGGAAGGUGGCUUUCUUUUCGGAGAAAGUGUUUAUAGCCUUUGGCCUCUGCAAUCGGGAGAGACUGAGGUCUGCAGCGUAGACUCUUCGGGGUUAGAUACAUUUGUGCUAAGUUAUAGCUUUUUAUAGACAACUUGUUGACUAUAAUUAGUCUUGUAGCUUACUCGCUUAUGCUAUUUUACCUACGCUUAGGAUGUUGAAGUCAUCGUAUCGCG
RNAcentral lists this ribosomal RNA (774 nucleotides) under uncultured Neocallimastigales. RNAcentral describes it as "partial large subunit ribosomal RNA". It matches the Rfam family "Eukaryotic large subunit ribosomal RNA", at positions 23 to 644 of the family's 3401-position model. Lineage: Eukaryota; Fungi; Neocallimastigomycota; Neocallimastigomycetes; Neocallimastigales. The record is from RNAcentral.